RNAcentral lists this ribosomal RNA (253 nucleotides) under uncultured bacterium. Its description in RNAcentral is "partial 16S ribosomal RNA". It matches the Rfam family "Bacterial small subunit ribosomal RNA", at positions 524 to 776 of the family's 1533-position model. The record is from RNAcentral.
UACGUAGGUGGCGAGCGUUGUUCGGAAUUACUGGGCGUAAAGGGCUCGUAGGCGGCCAACUAAGUCAGACGUGAAAUCCCUAGGCUCAACCUAGGAACUGCGUCUGAUACUGGAUGGCUUGAAUCCGGGAGAGGGAUGCAGAAUUCCAGGUGUAGCGGUGAAAUGCGUAGAUAUCUGGAGGAAUACCGGUGGCGAAGGCGGCAUCCUGGACCGGCAUUGACGCUGAGGAGCGAAAGCCAGGGGAGCAAACGGG